This 257-nucleotide ribosomal RNA is filed under the name uncultured bacterium. Its description in RNAcentral is "partial 16S ribosomal RNA". It matches the Rfam family "Bacterial small subunit ribosomal RNA", at positions 524 to 779 of the family's 1533-position model. The record is from RNAcentral.
UACGUAGGGGGCAAGCGUUGUCCGGACUUACUGGGCGUAAAGCGCGCGCAGGCGGAUGGGUAUGUGCCGUGUGAAAGCGCUGUCCUUACGAUGGCGAGGUCAUGGUAGACAGCCCGUCUAGAGGCUCGAAGAGGUCGGUGGAAUUCCGGGUGGAGCGGUGAAAUGGCGUAGAUAUCCGGAGGAACACCAGGGGCGAAAGCGGCCGACUGGUCGAGUACUGACGCUGAGGCGCGACGGCGUGGGGAGCAAACCGGAUU